AGGUUGGCUCAGAAGCAGCCAUCCUUUAAAGAGUGCGUAACAGCUCACUAGUCGAAUGACUCUGCGCCGAUAAUUUACCGGGGCUAAGCAUACUACCGAAGCUAUGGAUCCCAAGGGAUGGUAGGGGAGCGUUCCAUGAACGGAGAAGUACGACCGAAAGGACGUGUGGAGAUCAUGGAAGAGAGAAUGCCGGUGUGAGUAGCGGAACGUGGGUGAGAAUCCCACGCACCGAAAACCCAAGGUUUCCAGAGGAAGGUUCGUCCGCUCUGGGUAAGUCGGGACCUAAGGCGAGGCCGAAAGGCGUAGUCGAUGGACAACAGGUAGAGAUUCCUGUACCCGUAUAUAUGUGAAGGAAUGACGGAGAGAGGAAGCUGCAGCCAGCGGCUGGAAGAGCUGGUGCAAGCGAGAUAUCGGGAUGGCAGGCAAAUCCACCAUCCGAAACGAGAAGGCGUGAAGCGUACGGAAAGCUACGGCGAGUACGGAAGGCAGUGGAGGAACUUCCAAGAAAAGUUUCUAACGUUAAGUAUAUAUGGCCCGUACCGAAAAUGGACACACAUGGGUGAGGAGAGAAUCCUAAGGUGAGCGAGAGAACUAUAGCUAAGGAACUCUGCAAAAUGACUCCGUAACUUAGGGAGAAGGAGUGCUCAUAGAGAUAUGAGCCGCAGUGAAACGGCCCAAGCGACUGUUUACCAAAAACACAGCUCUCUGCUAAGUCGAAAGACGACGUAUAUGGGGUGACGCCUGCCCGGUGCUGGAAGGUUAAGGGGAUGUGUCAGCGCAAGCGAAGCACUGAAUUGAAGCCCCAGUAAACGGCGGCCGUAACUAUAACGGUCCUAAGGUAGCGAAAUUCCUUGUCAGGUAAGUUCUGACCCGCACGAAAGGCGUAACGAUUUGGGCGCUGUCUCAGCUGUAGACUCGGUGAAGUCUUAGUACCUGUGAAGAUGCAGGUUACCCGCGACUAGACGGAAAGACCCCAUGGAGCUUCACUGCAGGUUGAUAUUGGGAUUUGAUGCAGCAUGUACAGGAUAGGUAGGAGGCAAAGAGAUGGAUACGCCAGUAUUCAAGGAGCCGCUGUUGGGAUACUACCCCUGUUGUAUUGGAUUUCUAACCGGACGACGUAGAACCGUUGACGGGACAGUGUCAGUCGGGCAGUUUGACUGGGGCGGUCGCCUCCCAAAGAGUAACGGAGGCGCCCAAAGAUACCCUCAGCUUGGAUGGAAACCAAGCGCAGAGUGCAAAGGCAAAAGGGUGUUUGACUGCGAGACCCACAAGUCGAGCAGGGACGAAAGUCGGGCUUAGUGAUCCGGCGGUGCUGAAUGGAAAGGCCGUCGCUCAACGGAUAAAAGCUACCCUGGGGAUAACAGGCUGAUCUCCCCCAAGAGUUCACAUCGACGGGGAGGUUUGGCACCUCGAUGUCGGCUCAUCGCAUCCUGGAGCGGAAGUACGUUCCAAGGGUUGGGCUGUUCGCCCAUUAAAGCGGUACGCGAGCUGGGUUCAGAACGUCGUGAGACAGUUCGGUCCCUAUCUGUCGUGGGCGCAGGAAAUUUGAGAAGAGCUGUCCUCAGUACGAGAGGACCGGGAUGGACGCAUCAAUGGUGGACCAGUUGUCACGCCAGUGGCAUAGCUGGGUAGCUAAAUGCGGAAGGGAUAAACGCUGAAGGCAUCUAAGUGUGAAACCCACUUCAAGAUGAGAUUUCCCAUUGCGCAAGCAAGUAAGACCCCUUAAAGACGAUAAGGUAGAUAGGUCAGGAGUGUAAGCAUGGUGACAUGUUAAGCGGACUGAUACUAAUAGGUCGAGGGCUUGACCGA
This 1809-nucleotide ribosomal RNA is filed under the name human gut metagenome. RNAcentral's name for it is "bacterial LSU rRNA". It matches the Rfam family "Bacterial large subunit ribosomal RNA", at positions 1098 to 2925 of the family's 2925-position model. The record is from RNAcentral.